CAAUAGCGUAUAUUUAAGUUGUUGCAGUUAAAAAGCUCGUAGUUGGAUUUCGGGUGGGACGCAGCGGUCUCGCAUUGCGUUUGUACUGCUGCAGCCCUCCUUCUUGCCGGGGGCGGCCUCUCGGACUUCACUGUCUGGGGGUCAGAAUCGGCGAUGUUACUUUGAGUAAAUUAGAGUGUUCAAAGCAAGCCUACGCUCUGAAUACAUUAGCAUGGAAUAACACGAUAGGACUCUGGCUUAUCUUGUUGGUCUGUGAGACCAGAGUAAUGAUUAAGAGGGACAGUCGGGGGCAUUCGUAUUUCAUUGUCAGAGGUGAAAUUCUUGGAUUUAUGAAAGACGAACUUCUGCGAAAGCAUUUGUCAAGGAUGUUUNCAUUA
RNAcentral lists this ribosomal RNA (377 nucleotides) under uncultured eukaryote. Its description in RNAcentral is "partial 18S ribosomal RNA". It matches the Rfam family "Eukaryotic small subunit ribosomal RNA", at positions 592 to 975 of the family's 1831-position model. The record is from RNAcentral.